This is a non-coding RNA of Triticum aestivum (bread wheat), 135 nucleotides long. The record is from Rfam. NCBI's taxonomy places the organism in Eukaryota, Viridiplantae, Streptophyta, Magnoliopsida, Poales, Poaceae.
CAUAUACUCCCUCCAUCCCAAAAUUCUUGUCUUAGGUUUGUCUAGAUACGAAUGUAUUUAAUACUAAAACGUGACUUGAUACAUCCAUAUCUAGACAAAUCUAAGACAAGAAUUUUGGGACGGAGGGAGUAGUAU